AGAGUUUGAUCAUGGCUCAGAUUGAACGCUGGCGGCAGGCCUAACACAUGCAAGUCGAGCGGUAGCACAGAGAGCUUGCUCUCGGGUGACGAGCGGCGGACGGGUGAGUAAUGUCUGGGAAACUGCCUGAUGGAGGGGGAUAACUACUGGAAACGGUAGCUAAUACCGCAUAACGUCGCAAGACCAAAGUGGGGGACCUUCGGGCCUCAUGCCAUCAGAUGUGCCCAGAUGGGAUUAGCUAGUAGGUGGGGUAACGGCUCACCUAGGCGACGAUCCCUAGCUGGUCUGAGAGGAUGACCAGCCACACUGGAACUGAGACACGGUCCAGACUCCUACGGGAGGCAGCAGUGGGGAAUAUUGCACAAUGGGCGCAAGCCUGAUGCAGCCAUGCCGCGUGUGUGAAGAAGGCCUUCGGGUUGUAAAGCACUUUCAGCGGGGAGGAAGGCGUUAAGGUUAAUAACCUUGGCGAUUGACGUUACCCGCAGAAGAAGCACCGGCUAACUCCGUGCCAGCGGCCGCGGUAAUACGGAGGGUGCAAGCGUUAAUCGGAAUUACUGGGCGUAAAGCGCACGCAGGCGGUCUGUCAAGUCGGAUGUGAAAUCCCCGGGCUCAACCUGGGAACUGCAUUCGAAACUGGCAGGCUAGAGUCUUGUAGAGGGGGGUAGAAUUCCAGGUGUAGCGGUGAAAUGCGUAGAGAUCUGGAGGAAUACCGGUGGCGAAGGCGGCCCCCUGGACAAAGACUGACGCUCAGGUGCGAAAGCGUGGGGAGCAAACAGGAUUAGAUACCCUGGUAGUCCACGCCGUAAACGAUGUCGAUUUGGAGGUUGUGCCCUUGAGGCGUGGCUUCCGGAGCU
This 854-nucleotide ribosomal RNA is filed under the name uncultured bacterium. Its description in RNAcentral is "bacterial SSU rRNA". It matches the Rfam family "Bacterial small subunit ribosomal RNA", at positions 8 to 853 of the family's 1533-position model. The record is from RNAcentral.